UAGCUCAGUUGGUAGAGCAAUGGUGUUUGCAACACCCAGGGGUUGUGGGUUCGAUUCCCAC
Molecule: transfer RNA, 61 nt
Filed under: Salmo salar (Atlantic salmon)
Lineage: Eukaryota; Metazoa; Chordata; Actinopteri; Salmoniformes; Salmonidae
Rfam family: tRNA
About the family: Transfer RNA (tRNA) molecules are approximately 80 nucleotides in length. Their secondary structure includes four short double-helical elements and three loops (D, anti-codon, and T loops). Further hydrogen bonds mediate the characteristic L-shaped molecular structure. tRNAs have two regions of fundamental functional importance: the anti-codon, which is responsible for specific mRNA codon recognition, and the 3' end, to which the tRNAs corresponding amino acid is attached (by aminoacyl-tRNA synthetases). tRNAs cope with the degeneracy of the genetic code in two manners: having more than one tRNA (with a specific anti-codon) for a particular amino acid; and 'wobble' base-pairing, i.e. permitting non-standard base-pairing at the 3rd anti-codon position.
Source: Rfam by way of RNAcentral